UACACUCCUACGGGAGGCAGCAGUGGGGAAUAUUGCCCAAUGGGCGCAAGCCUGAUGCAGCCAUGCCGCGUGUAUGAAGAAGGCCUUCGGGUUGUAAAGUACUUUCAGCGGGGAGGAAGGUGUUGAGGUUAAUAACCUCAGCAAUUGACGUUACCCGCAGAAGAAGCACCGGCUAACUCCGUGCCAGCAGCCGCGGUAAUACGGAGGGUGCAAGCGUUAAUCGGAAUUACUGGGCGUAAAGCGCACGCAGGCGGUCUGUCAAGUCGGAUGUGAAAUCCCCGGGCUCAACCUGGGAACUGCAUUCGAAACUGGCAGGCUAGAGUCUUGUAGAGGGGGGUAGAAUUCCAGGUGUAGCGGUGAAAUGCGUAGAGAUCUGGAGGAAUACCGGUGGCGAAGGCGGCCCCCUGGACAAAGACUGACGCUCAGGUGCGAAAGCGUGGGGAGCAAACAGGAUUAGAUACCCCAGUAGUCCCAUG
Molecule: ribosomal RNA, 476 nt
Filed under: uncultured organism
Description: partial 16S ribosomal RNA
Rfam family: Bacterial small subunit ribosomal RNA
Source: RNAcentral